CAGUCGCCGCGGGAAUACGAAGGGGGCUAGCGUUGUUCGGAAUUACUGGGCGUAAAGCGCACGUAGGCGGAUCGAUCAGUCAGGGGUGAAAUCCCAGGGCUCAACCCUGGAACUGCCUUUGAUACUGUCGAUCUGGAGUAUGGAAGAGGUGAGUGGAAUUCCGAGUGUAGAGGUGAAAUUCGUAGAUAUUCGGAGGAACACCAGUGGCGAAGGCGGCUCACUGGUCCAUUACUGACGCUGAGGUGCGAAAGCGUGGGGAGCAAACAGGAUUAGAUACCCCUGUAGUCCCUGUCUCUUAUAA
This 301-nucleotide ribosomal RNA is filed under the name uncultured bacterium. Its description in RNAcentral is "partial 16S ribosomal RNA". It matches the Rfam family "Bacterial small subunit ribosomal RNA", at positions 509 to 809 of the family's 1533-position model. The record is from RNAcentral.